CCUACGGGGGGCUGCAGUGGGGAAUAUUGGACAAUGGGGGCAACCCUGAUCCAGCCAUGCCGCGUGUGUGAAGAAGGCCCUCGGGUUGUAAAGCACUUUCAGUGAGGAAGAACGCCUGGUGGUUAAUACCCAUCAGGAAAGACAUCACUCACAGAAGAAGCACCGGCUAACUCCGGUGCCAGCAGCCGCGGUAAUACGGAGGGUGCGAGCGUUAAUCGGAAUUACUGGGCGUAAAGCGCGCGUAGGUGGCUUGAUAAGCCGGUUGUGAAAGCCCCGGGCUCAACCUGGGAACGGCAUCCGGAACUGUCAAGCUAGAGUGCAGGAGAGGAAGGUAGAAUUCCCGGUGUAGCGGUGAAAUGCGUAGAGAUCGGGAGGAAUACCAGUGGCGAAGGCGGCCUUCUGGACUGACACUGACACUGAGGUGCGAAAGCGUGGGUAGCAAACAGGAUUAGAUACCCUGGUAGUC
RNAcentral lists this ribosomal RNA (466 nucleotides) under Vreelandella stevensii. Its description in RNAcentral is "partial 16S ribosomal RNA". It matches the Rfam family "Bacterial small subunit ribosomal RNA", at positions 338 to 795 of the family's 1533-position model. Lineage: Bacteria; Pseudomonadati; Pseudomonadota; Gammaproteobacteria; Oceanospirillales; Halomonadaceae. The record is from RNAcentral.